RNAcentral lists this ribosomal RNA (253 nucleotides) under uncultured bacterium. Its description in RNAcentral is "partial 16S ribosomal RNA". It matches the Rfam family "Bacterial small subunit ribosomal RNA", at positions 524 to 776 of the family's 1533-position model. The record is from RNAcentral.
UACAGAGGGUGCAAGCGUUAAUCGGAAUUACUGGGCGUAAAGCGCGCGUAGGCGUUCGGGUCAGUCGGUUGUGAAAUCCCCGGGCUUAACCUGGGAAUUGCAGUCGAUACUGCCCGGCUAGAGUGUGGAAGAGGGAAGCGGAAUUUCCGGUGUAGCUGUGAAAUGCGUAGAUAUCGGAAGGAACACCAGUGGCGAAGGCGGCUUCCUGGUCCAACACUCACGAUGAGGCGCAAAAGCGUGGGUAGCGAACAGG